This 253-nucleotide ribosomal RNA is filed under the name uncultured bacterium. RNAcentral's name for it is "partial 16S ribosomal RNA". It matches the Rfam family "Bacterial small subunit ribosomal RNA", at positions 524 to 776 of the family's 1533-position model. The record is from RNAcentral.
UACGUAGGGUGCAAGCGUUGUCCGGAAUUAUUGGGCGUAAAGAGCUCGUAGGCGGUUUGUCGCGUCGAAUGUGAAAACCCGGGGCUCAACCCCGGGCCUGCAUUCGAUACGGGCAGACUAGAGUUCGGUAGGGGAGUCUGGAAUUCCUGGUGUAGCGGUGAAAUGCGCAGAUAUCAGGAAGAACACCCGUGGCGAAGGCGGCUCUCUGGGACGGUACUGACGCUGAGACGCGAAAGCGUGGGGAGCAAACAGG